GACGAACCGUGCGAACGUUGUUCGGAUUCACUGGGCUUAAAGGGCGCGUAGGCGGGCUCGCCAGUCUGUGGUGAAAGCCCCCGGCUUAACCGGGGAAGUGCCGUGGAUACUGCGAGUCUUGAGGCGGGUAGGGGCGUGCGGAACACUGGGUGGAGCGGUGAAAUGCGUUGAUAUCCAGUGGAACUCCGGUGGCGAAGGCGGCACGCUGGACCCGUCCUGACGCUGAGGCGCGAAAGCCAGGGGAGCGAACGGG
Molecule: ribosomal RNA, 253 nt
Filed under: uncultured bacterium
Lineage: Bacteria
Description: partial 16S ribosomal RNA
Rfam family: Bacterial small subunit ribosomal RNA
Source: RNAcentral